Molecule: ribosomal RNA, 706 nt
Filed under: uncultured bacterium
Lineage: Bacteria
Description: bacterial SSU rRNA
Rfam family: Bacterial small subunit ribosomal RNA
Source: RNAcentral
AGCGGCGGACGGGUGAGUAAUGCUUGGGAAUCUGCCCAAUAGUGGGGGAUAACGUGUGGAAACGCACGCUAAUACCGCAUACGUCCUACGGGAGAAAGCAGGGGAUCUUCGGACCUUGCGCUAUUGGAUGAGCCCAAGUCAGAUUAGCUAGUUGGUGGGGUAAUGGCUCACCAAGGCGACGAUCUGUAGCUGGUCUGAGAGGAUGAUCAGCCACACUGGGACUGAGACACGGCCCAGACUCCUACGGGAGGCAGCAGUGGGGAAUAUUGCACAAUGGGCGAAAGCCUGAUGCAGCCAUGCCGCGUGUGUGAAGAAGGCUCUAGGGUUGUAAAGCACUUUCAGUGGGGAGGAAAAGCUCAAAAUUAAUACUUUUGAGCCUUGACGUUACCUGCAGAAGAAGCACCGGCAAACUCCGUGCCAGCAGCCGCGGUAAUACGGAGGGUGCGAGCGUUAAUCGGAAUUACUGGGCGUAAAGCGCGCGUAGGUGGUUUGAUAAGCUAGCUGUGAAAGCCCUGGGCUCAACCUGGGAACUGCAGUUAGAACUGUCUGGCUAGAGUAUAGUAGAGGGUGGCGGAAUUUCCUGUGUAGCGGUGAAAUGCGUAGAUAUAGGAAGGAACAUCAGGGGCGAAGGCGGCCACCUGGACUAUUACUGACACUGAGUGCGAAGCGUGGGGAGCAAACAGGAUUAGAUACCCUGAGAGUUCAA